UAGUCCACGCCGUAAACGAUGGUUACUAGCUGUUCGGAACUUGUUCUGAGUGGCUAAGCGAAAGUGAUAAGUAACCCACCUGGGGAGUACGUUCGCAAGAAUGAAACUCAAAGGAAUUGACGGGGGCCCGCACAAGCGGUGGAGCGUGUGGUUUAAUUCGAUGAUACGCGAGGAACCUUACCUAGGCUAGAAUGCAUAUGGCUGUUGGCUGAAAGGUCAAUUUCCUUCGGGACUGUAUGCAAGGUGCUGCAUGGUUGUCGUCAGCUCGUGCCGUGAGGUGUUGGGUUAAGUCCCGCAACGAGCGCAACCCUUGUCUUUAGUUGCCAGCAUGUAAUGAUGGGGACUCUAAAGAGACUGCCUCCGUAAGGAGUGAGGAAGGUGGGGAUGACGUCAAAUCAUCAUGGCCUUUAUGCCCGAGGCUACACACGUGCUACAAUGGCGGAUACAAAGGGCGGCGAGUCAGCGAUGCCGAGCCAAUCCCAAAAAGUCCGUCCCAGUUCGGAUCGG
RNAcentral lists this ribosomal RNA (507 nucleotides) under uncultured bacterium. Its description in RNAcentral is "bacterial SSU rRNA". It matches the Rfam family "Bacterial small subunit ribosomal RNA", at positions 791 to 1301 of the family's 1533-position model. The record is from RNAcentral.